GUAAGGUAUUACAGGUUGGUCCUGCCCAGUGAUAAAUAUUAAACGGCCGCAGUAGCCUGACUGUGCAAAGGUAGCAUAGUAAUUUGCCCUUUGAUUGGGGGCUUGUAUGAAUGGAUGAAUGAGAUGAAAGCUGUCUUUUCUGUUUUCUUUGAAAUUGAUUUUUAGGUGCAGAGGCCUGAAUGUUGGUAGAGGACAAGAAGACCCUAUUGAGCUUUAUCUAGCGAGGGCUUUUGUGAGUAGUUGUUGGGUUUGGUUGGGGCGACAGAGGAAUAAAUAAAACUUCCUUUUUAUUUUUGACCCUCUAGUUUUAUAUUAGCCAGAUUUACUGAUUAGAGAAGUAAGCUACCAUAGGGAUAACAGGCUAAUUUUCUUUGAGAGUUCACAUUGACAAGAAAGUUUGGCACCUCGAUGUUGGCUUAGGGUAUCCUAUUGGUGUAGAAGCUGAUAAUGGUGGGUUUGUUCAACCUUUAAAACCUUACGUGAUCUGA
This 488-nucleotide ribosomal RNA is filed under the name Aurospio cf. dibranchiata SST-2019. Its description in RNAcentral is "partial 16S ribosomal RNA". It matches the Rfam family "Bacterial large subunit ribosomal RNA", at positions 1838 to 2608 of the family's 2925-position model. The record is from RNAcentral. Lineage: Eukaryota; Metazoa; Annelida; Polychaeta; Spionida; Spionidae.